GUGUGUUUGUGUGUGUGUUUGUGUGUGUGUUUGUGUCUGACUGUGUGUGUCUGACUGUGUGUGUGUGUUUGUGUCUGACUGUGUAUGUGUGUGUGUGUGUGUGUGUCUGACUGUGUGUGUGUGUGUGUUUGUGUCUGACUGUGUCUGUGUAUGUGUCUGACUGUGUGUGUGUGUGUGUGUAUGUGUCUGACUGUGUGUGUGUGUUUGUGUAUGUGUCUGACUGUGUGUGUGUGUAUUUAGAAG
Molecule: non-coding RNA, 243 nt
Organism: Pelobates cultripes (western spadefoot toad)
Lineage: Eukaryota; Metazoa; Chordata; Amphibia; Anura; Pelobatidae
Source: the annotation of a GenBank genome assembly